Molecule: transfer RNA, 76 nt
Filed under: Micromonospora sp. 15K316
Lineage: Bacteria; Bacillati; Actinomycetota; Actinomycetes; Micromonosporales; Micromonosporaceae
Description: tRNA-Arg
Rfam family: tRNA
About the family: Transfer RNA (tRNA) molecules are approximately 80 nucleotides in length.
Source: RNAcentral
GCCCCCGUAGCUCAGCGGAGAGAGCGCUUGACUACGAAUCAAGAGGCCGGACGUUCGAAUCGUUCCGGGGGCACGA